GGGCCCGUAGCUCAGUUGGUAGAGCAGCGGACUUUUAAUCCGUAGGUCAUAGGUUCGAAUCCUAUCGGGCUCA
This 73-nucleotide transfer RNA is filed under the name Calditrichota bacterium. RNAcentral describes it as "Calditrichaeota bacterium (activated sludge metagenome) tRNA-Lys". It matches the Rfam family "tRNA". Rfam says of the family: Transfer RNA (tRNA) molecules are approximately 80 nucleotides in length. The record is from RNAcentral. RNAcentral also lists the same sequence under 1 other name. Lineage: Bacteria; Pseudomonadati; Calditrichota.